AAAACAGUUUAUGCAGUGAGCCAGGUUACACUGAAAAUAUUACAUCACAAUAGAAAGUGUAAGCUUCACAUUCUGAGGUAGACCUAAUGUAGGUCAAGAAUGGUGGGGAAAGAGGGGCAGAAAAGGCAUUUCGGAUAACUUGAGAUGCAAGAAGAGAGAAGAAUGAAAAACAACCAACCAACCACCGCAACAAAAAAGCCUCCCACCACACACCAGAAGUGCUUUCUUGCUUCCCUGAGAACCUGCCCAUAACUUAAGAUUGUUUGGGCGGUUUGUAGCUUUCCUGCCUUCCUUCCUUUCCAGUUAAUUAUUCAUGCACUUGGUACCAGCAGACAGGUUUUGUUUUCCUUCAGGUGUAAUUAGAGCAAUCAAAGGUCAGGAAGUCAAAGUCUGGACUCAUAUGAUGUUGUGGCCCAUCCAGGCUUCACUGAACCAGAGAGAGCAUCUCAGAUUCAUUAGUCAGAAUCACUUCAGUGUGAGUUUUCUAAUUUCAUUGUUCUUAGUGAGACUUACUUUGGUAUACAGCUGACUUUAGAUAAACAAAUGUUUUGCCUUGAGAGGAGGGAUCUGACUUCCGUUUUGGAAAAUUCCAAGUUCAGCUUGUUGUGGUCUUGGGACAUGGCUAGCUGAUAAUACUGGGAAAUGUACUGCUCCACAUGCCUUCUGAGAAAUAUAAAAGGAAAUAUAAUCCUCAGCAUUUCUGGGAAGAAGUAGUCUGAUUUCUUUUCAUAUUUGGUAAACCAGUAUCUCACCAAAUUCCAGCUCAAGAACUGAAAGUUUAAUUAGCUCUAUCCUGGAUGAAAUACACUGCUGCUUAGCUGUGUUAAAGCUGUGUAGUCCAUAAAUUGAUAACUUGGUUGUCAGCCUUCAUAACACCCUGGACAGUAACAAAACCCAUAGAUUUACACACUGUGGAUUACUUUAUAAAAUAUUAAUGUUUGGGUUGGAUCGUAAAGGGUUUAGAUCUCUUAUCCUUUUUAUUCUCCUUUGGUAAAAGAAGAAAAAAGAAGGCUGACAUUAAAAAUGUAGGGUAUUUUCAAUAUUUCAGAGACAACAAACUGCAUUGCCCAAAGUCAGCAGCCCCCAUCCUCACCACUGGCAUGGUAGAAAAGCAUAUUCAGUAGUGUUAUGUUGCCAAGUGUCAGCCUUUCCUGAGAACUUUUAAAAACUGAUAUAUAUAAAUGCUGAAAUGCCUUUGUCAUACUACAUUUCCCUUUGCUGGAGUUUUCUUACUGCUGUUACUCAAGUAGCCCUGGAAAUACAGGGUAAUAUUUUUGCUCUGUCCUUCAGGUUAACUUAUUUGUGUGUAGGUUGUGGCAGAAAACCAAGUUUUCCCUGGGAUUAAUUCUGAUGGGAAACCAAAACUGCAACUUUGAUUAGGGAAAAAUCUCCAAGGAUUGUUUUUUCCUCUGUCUUGGAGAUGAAGUGAGAAUGGCGGAGGCUCAGAUUUUGCUGCCAUGCAACCUGUUUAAAACUAAUGCAACGUAAUCAGAGUUUGAGGGCAAGACAAGAGUAGCAUCCAGUAGGUA
Molecule: long non-coding RNA, 1529 nt
Filed under: Phasianus colchicus (ring-necked pheasant)
Lineage: Eukaryota; Metazoa; Chordata; Aves; Galliformes; Phasianidae
Description: lncRNA (ENSPCLG00000005884.1)
Source: RNAcentral